RNAcentral lists this ribosomal RNA (1501 nucleotides) under Ruminococcus sp. A254.MGS-254. RNAcentral describes it as "bacterial LSU rRNA". It matches the Rfam family "Bacterial large subunit ribosomal RNA", at positions 1086 to 2613 of the family's 2925-position model. The record is from RNAcentral. Lineage: Bacteria; Bacillati; Bacillota; Clostridia; Eubacteriales; Oscillospiraceae.
AAGACAACCAGGAUGUUGGCUCAGAAGCAGCCAUACAUUCAAAGAGUGCGUAAUAGCUCACUGGUCGAGAGGUCCUGCGCCGAAAAUGUCCGGGGCUGAAACACGACACCGAAGCUGAGGAAUGUCUGAAGACAUUGGUAGAGGAGCAUUGGAUACGCAACGAAGCAGUACCGGAAGGAGCUGUGGAGUGUAUCGAAGAGAGAAUGCCGGAAUGAGUAGCGAGAGAGAGGUGGGAAUCCUCUCGGCCGAAUAUCUAAGGUUUCCAGGGUAAAGCUGAUCUGCCCUGGGUAAGUCGGGGCCUAAGGCGAGGACGAGAGUCGUAGCCGAUGGACAACAGGUUGAGAUUCCUGUACUGCAGUAAGACAGAACUGUGGGGACACGUGUGGAGAGCAUAGGCGCGGAAUGGAAAGCCGCGUGCAAGCGAGGUAGGAGUCCUGUAGGAAAAACCGCAGGGCAAUCCGAAGGCGUGAUGCGGACCGAAAUCUAGUAGGGAAGUAUGUGAGCCAUGCGUCAAGAAAAGCCGCUAUUGUUCUUAUUGUACCCGUACCGUAAACCGACACAGGUGGAUGAGGAGAGAAUCCUAAGGCCGACGGAAGAAGCAUUGUUAAGGAACUCGGCAAAAUGACCCCGUAACUUCGGGAGAAGGGGUGCCACAGAAAUGUGGCCGCAGAGAAUAGGCUCAAGCAACUGUUUAGCAAAAACACAGGUCUAUGCAAAACCGAAAGGUGAGGUAUAUGGGCUGACGCCUGCCCGGUGCUGGAAGGUUAAGAGGAGAGGUUAGCGCAAGCGAAGCUUUGAAUUGAAGCCCCAGUAAACGGCGGCCGUAACUAUAACGGUCCUAAGGUAGCGAAAUUCCUUGUCGGGUAAGUUCCGACCCGCACGAAAGGCGUAAUGAUUUGAGCGCUGUCUCGACAAUGCAUCCGGUGAAAUUGAAGUACCAGUGAAGAUGCUGGUUACCUGCGCCAGGACGGAAAGACCCCAUGGAGCUUUACUCCAGCUUGAUACUGGGAUUCGGUAUUGCAUGUACAGGAUAGGUGGGAGGCUGAGAAUCGGUAACGCCAGUUGCCGAGGAGCCAUUGUUGGGAUACCACCCUUGCAGUACUGGGUUUCUAACCAGCAGCCGUGACCCGGCUGGGGGACAAUGUCAGGUGGGGAGUUUGACUGGGGCGGUCGCCUCCGAAAGGGUAUCGGAGGCGCUCAAAGGUUCCCUCAGAAUGGUUGGAAACCAUUCGAAGAGUGCAAAGGCAGAAGGGAGCUUGACUGCGACACCGACGGGUGGAGCAGGUACGAAAGUAGGACUUAGUGAUCCGGUGGUAUUAAGUGGGAAUGCCAUCGCUCAACGGAUAAAAGCUACCCUGGGGAUAACAGGCUUAUCACUCCCAAGAGUUCACAUCGACGGAGUGGUUUGGCACCUCGAUGUCGGCUCAUCGCAUCCUGGGGCUGUAGUAGGUCCCAAGGGUUGGGCUGUUCGCCCAUUAAAGCGGUACGCGAGCUGGGUUCA